GGAGCUGAAGUCAGUCGAAGAUACCAGCUGGCUGCAACUGUUUAUUAAAAACACAGCACUGUGCAAACACGAAAGUGGACGUAUACGGUGUGACGCCUGCCCGGUGCCGGAAGGUUAAUUGAUGGGGUCAGCGCAAGCGAAGCUCCUGAUCGAAGCCCCGGUAAACGGCGGCCGUAACUAUAACGGUCCUAAGGUAGCGAAAUUCCUUGUCGGGUAAGUUCCGACCUGCACGAAUGGCGUAAUGAUGGCCAGGCUGUCUCCACCCGAGACUCAGUGAAAUUGAACUCGCUGUGAAGAUGCAGUGUACCCGCGGCAAGACGGAAAGACCCCGUGAACCUUUACUAUAGCUUGACACUGAACAUUGAGCCUUGAUGUGUAGGAUAGGUGGGAGGCUUUGAAGUGUGGACGCCAGUCUGCAUGGAGCCGACCUUGAAAUACCACCCUUUAAUGUUUGAUGUUCUAACGUGGACCCGUUACCCGGGUUGCGGACAGUGUCUGGUGGGUAGUUUGACUGGGGCGGUCUCCUCCUAAAGAGUAACGGAGGAGCACGAAGGUUGGCUAAUCCUGGUCGGACAUCAGGAGGUUAGUGCAAUGGCAUAAGCCAGCUUGACUGCGAGCGUGACGGCGCGAGCAGGUGCGAAAGCAGGUCAUAGUGAUCCGGUGGUUCUGAAUGGAAGGGCCAUCGCUCAACGGAUAAAAGGUACUCCGGGGAUAACAGGCUGAUACCGCCCAAGAGUUCAUAUCGACGGCGGUGUUUGGCACCUCGAUGUCGGCUCAUCACAUCCUGGGGCUGAAGUAGGUCCCAAGGGUAUGGCUGUUCGCCAUUUAAAGUGGUACGCGAGCUGGGUUUAGAACGUCGUGAGACAGUUCGGUCCCUAUCUGCCGUGGGCGCUGGAGAACUGAGGGGGGCUGCUCCUAGUACGAGAGGACCGGAGUGGACGCAUCACUGGUGUUCGGGUUGUCAUGCCAAUGGCACUGCCCGGUAGCUAAAUGCGGAAGAGAUAAGUGCUGAAAGCAUCUAAGCACGAAACUUGCCCCGAGAUGAGUUCUCCCUGAGACUUUAGGUCUCCUGAAGGAACGUUGAAGACGACGACGUUGAUAGGCCGGGUGUGUAAGCGCAGCGAUGCGUUGAGCUAACCGGUACUAAUGAACCGUGAGGCUUAACCUU
RNAcentral lists this ribosomal RNA (1168 nucleotides) under Salmonella enterica. RNAcentral describes it as "partial 23S ribosomal RNA". It matches the Rfam family "Bacterial large subunit ribosomal RNA", at positions 1763 to 2925 of the family's 2925-position model. The record is from RNAcentral. Lineage: Bacteria; Pseudomonadati; Pseudomonadota; Gammaproteobacteria; Enterobacterales; Enterobacteriaceae. RNAcentral also lists the same sequence under 1 other name.